UGAGGAAUAUUGCGCAAUGGGCGAAAGCCUGACGCAGCAACGCCGCGUGGGCGAUGAAGGCCUUCGGGUUGUAAAGCCCUUUUCUGGGGGAAGAGGAAGGACGGUACCCCAGGAAUAAGUCUCGGCUAACUACGUGCCAGCAGCCGCGGUAAAACGUAGGAGGCAAGCGUUAUCCGGAUUUACUGGGCGUAAAGCGCGCGCAGGUGGGUCCGUAAGUUGGACGUGAAAUCUUUCGGCUCAACUGGGAGAGGUCGUCCAAGACUGCGGGUCUUGAGGUCGGGAGAGGGAAGUGGAAUUCCCGGUGUAGUGGUGGAAUGCGUAGAUAUCGGGAGGAACACCAGUGGCGAAAGCGGCUUCCUGGCCCGCACCUGACGCUCAAGCGCGAAAGCGUGGGGAGCGAACGGGAUUAGAUACCCCGGUAGUCCACGCUGUAAACGAUGGGUACUAGGUGUUGGUGGUAUUGACCCCAUCAGUGCCGAAGCUAACGCGAUAAGUACCCCGCCUGGGGACUACGAGCGCAAGCUUA
RNAcentral lists this ribosomal RNA (526 nucleotides) under uncultured bacterium. Its description in RNAcentral is "bacterial SSU rRNA". It matches the Rfam family "Bacterial small subunit ribosomal RNA", at positions 355 to 896 of the family's 1533-position model. The record is from RNAcentral.